CAAAGAUGGCGUUCCCGGUGCUGUCAAAGUUAAGACAUUUGCUUAGAUUAACCAGAAAGGUUCAUUCUUCCAAAAGACUCCUCUGCGCUGGUGAUAUAAAGGAUGAAAAGGGACGUCCAUCCACCUGCCGGGUCUUCUCUGGGAUCCAGCCAACUGGUGUCCCCCAUCUAGGUAACUAUUUAGGUGCGUUGGAGAACUGGGUAUCACUACAACACCAGUAUCCAUCCGUGCUUUAUAGCAUAGUAGACCUUCACUCCAUCACACAACCUCAGGAUCCAAGCCAGCUCAGGCAGAACAUCCUGGACAUGGCUGCCAGUUUACUAGCUUGCGGAAUCGACCCGGAGAGAGCCAUACUCUUCCAACAAUCGCAGGUGCCCGAACAUGCAGAGCUGUCAUGGGUCCUCAGCUGUCUGACCAGCAUGCCGCGCCUCCGACACCUGCCACAAUGGAAGAUGAAGAGCAAGCAGAAGAAUGAAGGCAGCGUGGGUCUUUACACGUAUCCUGUCCUCCAGGCUGCUGAUAUUCUUCUCUACCGGUCCACUCAUGUGCCAGUCGGUGAGGAUCAGGUCCAGCACUUGGAGCUGGCUCAGGAUUUAGCUCGUAUCUUCAACAGACAGUAUGGAGAGAUGUUUCCAGAACCCAAAGCCUUAUUGAGUACUACAAGAAAGGUUAAGUCGUUGCGUGAGCCAUCUGCCAAAAUGUCCAAAUCUGACCCUUAUUCCAUGGCCACUAUCAGCAUCACAGACGCUCCUGAUGUGAUCACACUUAAGAUCCGACGCGCUGUGACAGACUUCAUCUCUGAGGUGACCUAUGACCCGGACCAGCGACCUGGAGUGUCCAACCUGGUAAUGGUACACGCAGCCGUGGUAGGGAUCAGCGUGCAGGAGGCUGUUUCACAGGCCCGGGGUCUGGACACUGGAGCGUAUAAGAAGGUGGUGGCUGAGGCCGUGAUCCAGAGGUUAACACCCAUCCGGGAGGAGAUCCACAGGCUCAGGUCGGACAUGGCAUACCUGGAGACGGUGCUGAAGCAAGGGAACCACAAGGCAAGGGAGCUGGCUGCACCUGUGCUGGCACAGGUCAGACAGAGAGUGGGCUUCUGCUGAGAGGACUGGACACUGGAGUUGUGGUGCUGAAGAUGUUGGGUUCAUCUAUCUGAAAAGAUCAACAUCUGUGGCCGUUGUGAAGUAAUGACAAAGGGAGUGUUCUACAGGAUUUUUUCCUUAACAGUCUACCAUGAAUUGCAGAGUCCUGCUCGACAGACAGGGAUUUUCCCAGCAUAGGGAGAGCACUUGGGAGAACCCUGAUAACAGUAUAUCACAGAAUCCAAGAGCUACUUUUUAUGUGUGAAAUGUACCUUUGAGAUUUACUCAUCAGAAAAACUGCUGUUUGCCAGAAUGAUUUGGACACAGCCCUGGUCAG
This is an RNA transcript of Synchiropus splendidus (mandarinfish), 1419 nucleotides long. It is a transcript of the gene named tryptophanyl tRNA synthetase 2, mitochondrial, with no coding region annotated. The record is from RefSeq and is a predicted model, not a curated record. NCBI's taxonomy places the organism in Eukaryota, Metazoa, Chordata, Actinopteri, Syngnathiformes, Callionymidae. The transcript has 7 exons.